GCCGGGUGUGGUGGUGCACGCCUGUAAUCCCAGCUGCUGGGGAGGCUGAGGCAGGAGGAUAACAAGUUUGAGCCUGGGCAAUUUAGUGAGACUCUGUCUAAA
Molecule: small RNA, 102 nt
Filed under: Marmota monax (woodchuck)
Lineage: Eukaryota; Metazoa; Chordata; Mammalia; Rodentia; Sciuridae
Source: RNAcentral